Long non-coding RNA from Zonotrichia leucophrys gambelii, 975 nucleotides. RefSeq lists it as uncharacterized. The transcript is spliced from 3 exons. The record is from RefSeq and is a predicted model, not a curated record. Lineage: Eukaryota; Metazoa; Chordata; Aves; Passeriformes; Passerellidae.
GGGCAGACAAGGAGGGGCUGUGGUGAACCCCGCUCUCCAGAGGGCCAGCAGGAGUCUGCCUGGGCUCUGCAUUCAGGCCACAGACGGUGAAUGACAGAAAACAGAGCCCAGAGCUGCCCUUGGAUGUCAGUGCCACCCGAGGGUGUGACAGCAGCUGCACAGGAUGGAUGCAAAGCCAAACACAUCGAUCAGAGCGUGCAGCUGUGCUGGGAGCAGGGAGAGGGCUGUGCUGCAGGCAGGCACCGGGAAACGAGCGGGGAAUGCAGGAGCUGGGACUGAAUUUUAUUGUUUUAUUCCCGGCCACGCACCUGCUGUGCGUGUCCCUGCAGCAGUGGGCAGCCCGUGCCGUGCCGCCCGGUGAGUGGGUCUGAACCUGCUGCCCUCUGCAGCUGUGAAAGGUCCUGUGCACUGCAGGGCUGGGCACCAUCCCUGCUGCACAUCUGCCAGCCUGUGAUACCGUCCCUGCUGCACCUCUGCAGGGCUGGGCAGUGCCCCGCUGCAUCUCUACCAGCCUGUGAUAAGGUCCCUGCUGCACCUCUGCAAGGCUGGGCACCAUCCCUGCUGCACCUCUGCAACGUGCUGCACCUCUGCCAUUGGUCUGCAACCUGCUGCACCUCUGCAGGGCUGGGCACUGUCCCUGCUGCGUCUCUGCCAGCCUGUGGCACUGUCCCUGCCGCCGGGACAACGCAGCGACCCCAGCCCGGCGUUGUCUGGUUCUUACAGCCCGGGGUCCCAGAGCCCCGCCAUCCUCGCAGCCCCUGCGUGUUGCAACACCUGCGGGCAAGAGCCCCCAGGAAAACAAAGAAGCUGCUGGGUGCUGACCAGAGGUUUUCAUCUGAGUUACCAUCUCUCCAGAGCUCCUGCUGCUGGCCCAGACUUCUGAAACCCAGGGAGCUCCAUCCCACUGGGAAACUAUUGGCAAGUUCUACAGGACCGACACUACUUUGGAUGACACUCGUGGAGAACUGGAAAAAG